UGGUAGAGCGCAACCUUGCCAAGGUUGAGGUCGCGAGUUCGAGACUCGUUUCCCGCUCCA
This 60-nucleotide transfer RNA is filed under the name Neisseria meningitidis. RNAcentral's name for it is "tRNA-Ser". It matches the Rfam family "tRNA", at positions 16 to 71 of the family's 71-position model. Rfam says of the family: Transfer RNA (tRNA) molecules are approximately 80 nucleotides in length. Their secondary structure includes four short double-helical elements and three loops (D, anti-codon, and T loops). The record is from RNAcentral. Lineage: Bacteria; Pseudomonadati; Pseudomonadota; Betaproteobacteria; Neisseriales; Neisseriaceae.